Long non-coding RNA from Amphibalanus amphitrite, 521 nucleotides. RefSeq lists it as uncharacterized. NCBI's taxonomy places the organism in Eukaryota, Metazoa, Arthropoda, Thecostraca, Balanomorpha, Balanidae. The transcript is spliced from 3 exons. The record is from RefSeq and is a predicted model, not a curated record.
GCCACAGUGCCACUGUUGCAGAAAGGAGGCGCAUUGAGCAGACAUUCCUAAGCGGAGUUCCACCGAACAGCCUCAUCCAAAGGCCAUCAUACCCGGAACUGCCGCGCUCCGCCGGGAGCGUCCCGCAUCGAGGGAGAGCCGUCGGUCGUCGGCGAUCUCUAAUCGCUCCGACUGUGAGUUGUCGAUCGGCCCGAUUGGUCGCCGCCCAAGUUGUCCAACUUUAUGUGUGGUGAAUCACCAACGAGCGGCCCCGGCGCGUCCUCUGGCUCUCCGCGAGCUGUUCCGGACGGAGCGGGAUGCGCGUGCUGCCGCUGCUGCUGCUGACGCUGGAGACCAGGCUGAGCACCUCCGUGAUGAACGGUGACGGUCUUUACGGAAAGGUAAAGAGAGACCAGGUCAGUCACGUGUCUGCCGUCGAGGGCCAAUCAGCGGAGCUGCCGUGUGACGUCACCGACAGUUCGGGGAGCGCGGCCGGUCUGCGGCUGGUCCUCUGGUAUUUCGCCGCCAGCACCAUCUACACG